AAGUCCAGAAAGCAGAUUCACAAAGCAGAGACUCACAGAAGCGGGGCUGUUGUGCUAUGCUGUUUAGAAGCUGGCAAACGUGCCCUGGAUCCUCCUCAAAACAUCCGGCUGAGACAAUGCAGUUUCGGGCUCACAGCAUUGUUCCUGGAGAGACCUGAAGAUCCCUGGAGGCUCCGGAAGCCAUGCAAGGAGCGACCCCAGGGGAGCUGUGGUUCCCAGGCCUCAGAGGUGAAAGACAGUGGCUUGCAAAUGCAGCGCCUCAGAGGUGAAAGAGACAGUGGCUUGCAAAUGCAGCAACAGCAUCCCAUGAGUGCAGGGGAGCGCUCUGGGUGGAGCAGAACAGUAAAGUUCAUAAAUUCAGCACGUCAGAGCAGCCUGUCUCCCCUAUUUACUCUGCAAGUCCGUGACAUCGCGAGCGCUCGCUACUUUACUUUGUCUUAAUGCUGGCGCGUUAACCUCUGAACGGUGACUUUCCAGCCACUAGCCUGGAGGCUGUAAGGUGCUUCUGUGCCUAUUUUUAGCCUCUUUUCCGCGAAGAAAAGAGAAAAUAAUAAUGUCUCGUUCCGGGGAUCCUUCUCAAGCAUGCACAGGAUCCAGGAGGCAACAGUAACAUCCCUAAGGAGCCAGUCUCAGAAGCAGGUGUGGGGCGCCCUCUCUCUGUUAUCAGAGAGGGUGCCGGAAAGCAGCUGGGCCACAGCGGGGCACUGGGCAGGAUCGCUACGAGGAAUUCAAUAAGGAUCUCACUUGGUGUCUGUUUGCUGAACUGAAUCUUGCUUUGUAGAUCUGGAUACUUGAAUUCUCCUGAAGCGCUGAGAUCUAAACAGUAUAUCACCUGUCUUGGUGUAUAAUAACUUUAAUAAGAUCCAGGCUUGGUUCACGCAGACGAGCUACUGAGGCAAACGCAGAUGUUCCCCAAGCAUCUGGACCUUCUAAAAAUGAAGCGCCACCUCACCAGCAGCAAAGCAGCUUGAAGUUAAUGAUGAUUAACAAUGGGAAAGGUUUGGUCAACAUAUUUUCAGAAAGACACGUCUUGUGACAAGUGUGCAAAUGACACCUAAGGCUCUGGUUUCGAUGAAAACUGGCCCCAUCUUCCUGGAGACUAUUAGCCCGCAUCCUACCGGAUAGCGUGCACCUAAAGUUCUCAAGAGCUCCCUCAUCCUUGGAAGCAACAAUAUACAGAGGGGUGGAUAUCCCAGAGAAAAUAAACAGAUGAAAGUCU
This 1219-nucleotide long non-coding RNA is filed under the name Mus musculus (house mouse). Its description in RNAcentral is "RIKEN cDNA 6530411M01 gene (6530411M01Rik)". The record is from RNAcentral. Lineage: Eukaryota; Metazoa; Chordata; Mammalia; Rodentia; Muridae.